CACAUAAUGCUUCUUCGGUAAGGAGUGGCUUGAUUUAAACCUUAUACCCUUAUAAGAAAACUCAGAAGUAGGGAAAAGAGAUAACCACCCACAACCUUUAAAGAAAAACCACAGUAUUUCUCUACUUUAUUGUUUUCUCAACCCAGUUGGCUUAAUUCCCAAUAUAAAGUAUUUGGUAUAGUUUUUAGAUGAUUUGCAACAAUUCCCAACACAUUAUUGAAGUAAUAUUUCCAGUUCUCCAGAAUCUAAAGAGCAAUACCAUAUUCAAUUCAUUCAUAUCCUUUGGGACUUUAUAAUACUUAAAUUAUUUUAUCACAUAGAUACAUUGUGACCAAUUUACCUACUCAGGAAUUGCUCUAUAUGGCAUUUUUCACAUGCUUAUUUUUUUUCCUUUUUUUCCCAUUUCCCAAGGUCUUUAAUAUCUUUUCUUUUUCAAAUUAGAGAAGUAGCUAUAACUCAUGGUAUUGUUCAUAUCAAAACAUCAUGUUUUAUUACAUGCAUAAAGAUAAUAAAAUAAAUAUUAUUUAUAAUAUAUUUACCUGCAAUAUAAUCUUAAUCUCUCUAUAAUGAUAAAUUAGAAUCAAUACUUUCCAAAUUAAUCUGUAUUUAUUUCUAAGUCAGUUUUUCCCAAGUUAUAUCUAAAAUUUCAGAGCCUGUUUUAUUUUAAAAUUAGGUUAUGAUUUGAAGUUUCUUAUCUACAUUGAAGUUCAUCUUCCAUUUUCCAUACCACAGUCAAUACCAAGAAUCCCCUGGAGUUUAUCAUUAUCAGCUUGUUAUUUCACUAGCUGGAAGAAUAUAUUGCUGCUUUAAACAUUCCUUUUUACUAUUUACUCCCAAGCCUUUAAAUUAAAAAUUUAAUAAUAAUGCAGUGAUUCAACCAUCAAGUUAUUUAGACUAAAAGAAUCCAAGGAAUACUCUGAUAAGAAUACAAGUCUGGGGAUGCAAAUUAUUUUUAUAGAUAAAAGUGGUUGUCUUUUUAUCAGUAAGUAGCUAAAGUCAAAUAGAAGUACUGUGAUCUAGCAUUGUAACAAAUAUUUGUAUUUGACCUUGUAUCCUAGCUUACAUGUACAGUUAUGAGUACAAAGAUAUCAUUACUAGAUAAUUGUCAAGUAAACAGGAAUGUGGCUAUCUGACCAAACUUCUUUUAGAGUCAUGAAGUAUAUUCAGUGGAAAAUGUGAUCAAGCUCCUACCUUGUGAUCAAUGGAGAGAAAGGAUCCUUCACUGUGACAUAAAAGGACUGGAAGUAAUGGUGGCUUUUCCAUUAACAAAUUCUAUGAUCUUGCUUAAUUGUCUUUCUCUGAUGAUUAAUUUCUGCAGGGGGUAAAAAUAAGAAUAAAAAUUCCUAUUAAUGUAUAAGAUUAUAAAAAUUAAAUGAAAUAAUGAUAA
This is a non-coding RNA of Ictidomys tridecemlineatus (thirteen-lined ground squirrel), 1387 nucleotides long. The record is from RefSeq and is a predicted model, not a curated record. Lineage: Eukaryota; Metazoa; Chordata; Mammalia; Rodentia; Sciuridae.